AGCGAACGCUGGCGGCAGGCCUAACACAUGCAAGUCGAACGAACACUUCGGGGUUAGUGGCGGACGGGUGUGUAACACGUGGGAACGUGCCUUUUGGUUCGGAAUAACUCAGGGAAACUUGUGCUAAUACCGAAUGUGCCCUUCGGGGGAAAGAUUUAUCGCCAUUGGAGCUGCCCGCGUCUGAUUAGCUAGUUGGUGAGGUAACGGCUCACCAAGGCGACGAUCAGUAGCUGGUCUGAGGGGAUGACCAGCCACACUGGGACUGAGACACGGCCCAGACUCCUACGGGAGGCAGCAGUGGGGAAUCUUGCGCAAUGGGCGGAAGCCUGACGCAGCCAUGCCGCGUGAAUGAUGAAGGUCUUAGGAUUGUAAAAUUCUUUCACCGGGGACGAUAAUGACGGUACCCGGAGAAGAAGCCCCGGCUAACUUCGUG
This 433-nucleotide ribosomal RNA is filed under the name uncultured bacterium. RNAcentral describes it as "partial 16S ribosomal RNA". It matches the Rfam family "Bacterial small subunit ribosomal RNA", at positions 29 to 507 of the family's 1533-position model. The record is from RNAcentral.